UGGGCUUGACAUAUAGGUGAAGGGAUCCGAAAGGUGACCGUCCCUCGGGACGCUUAUACAGGUGCUGCAUGGCUGUCGUCAGCUCGUGUCGUGAGAUGUCCGGUUAAGUCCGGUAACGAGCGCAACCCUCGCCGUAUGUUACAAGUGUCAUACGGGACUGCCGGUAUAAAACCGGAGGAAGGUGAGGAUGACGUCAAGUCAGCAUGGCCUUUAUGCCCAGGGCUACACACACGCUACAAUGGUCGGUACAAUAGGUCGCAAAGCCGCGAGGUGGAGCCAAUCCCCAAAGCCGGUCUCAGUUCGGAUUGCAGGCUGCAACUCGCCUGCAUGAAGU
RNAcentral lists this ribosomal RNA (334 nucleotides) under uncultured bacterium. RNAcentral's name for it is "bacterial SSU rRNA". It matches the Rfam family "Bacterial small subunit ribosomal RNA", at positions 976 to 1326 of the family's 1533-position model. The record is from RNAcentral.